Molecule: ribosomal RNA, 498 nt
Filed under: uncultured Burkholderiales bacterium
Lineage: Bacteria; Pseudomonadati; Pseudomonadota; Betaproteobacteria; Burkholderiales
Description: bacterial SSU rRNA
Rfam family: Bacterial small subunit ribosomal RNA
Source: RNAcentral
AAAGGAAUUGACGGGGACCCGCACAAGCGGUGGAUGAUGUGGUUUAAUUCGAUGCAACGCGAAAAACCUUACCCACCUUUGACAUGGCAGGAACUUACCAGAGAUGGUUUGGUGCUCGAAAGAGAACCUGCACACAGGUGCUGCAUGGCUGUCGUCAGCUCGUGUCGUGAGAUGUUGGGUUAAGUCCCGCAACGAGCGCAACCUUUGCCAUUAGUUGCUACAUUCAGUUGAGCACUCUAAUGGGACUGCCGGUGACAAACCGGAGGAAGGUGGGGAUGACGUCAAGUCCUCAUGGCCCUUAUAGGUGGGGCUACACACGUCAUACAAUGGCUGGUACAAAGGGUUGCCAACCCGCGAGGGGGAGCUAAUCCCAUAAAGCCAGUCGUAGUCCGGAUCGCAGUCUGCAACUCGACUGCGUGAAGUCGGAAUCGCUAGUAAUCGUGGAUCAGAAUGUCACGGUGAAUACGUUCCCGGGUCUUGUACACACCGCCCGUCACA